GACGAACGCUGGCGGCGUGCCUAAUACAUGCAAGUAGAACGCAGUUGCGAACGGGUGAGUAAAGCGUAGGUAACUGCCUCAUAGCGGGGGAUAACUAUUGGAAACGAUAGCUAAUACCGCAUACUGUGAGCUGGACCUGCGUUGUGUUAGCUAGUUGGUGAGGUAAAGGCUCACCAAGGCGACGGUACAUAGCCGACCUGAGAGGGGGGUCGGCCCAACUGGGACUGAGACCCGGCCCCGACUCCUUCGGGAGGGAGCCGUAGGGAAUUUUCGGCAAUGGACGGAAGUCUUGCCGAGCAACGCCGCGUUGGUUAAGAAAGUUUUCCGGUUGUAAAGCUCUGUUGGUAAGGGAGCGGUAACUAACCAGAAAGGGACGGCUAACUACGUGCCAGCAGCCGCGGUAAUAC
Molecule: ribosomal RNA, 407 nt
Filed under: uncultured bacterium
Lineage: Bacteria
Description: partial 16S ribosomal RNA
Rfam family: Bacterial small subunit ribosomal RNA
Source: RNAcentral